AUGAAUAUUAAUAAUCACAUUUUCUUACUCAGAGAUGUCCAGAUAUGGAAAGAGAAUGUCUUUACUUUGGUUUAAUCAGAUACGAGGACAAGUAGACUUGUGGAUACUGCCCACUUUUGUAAGUGAUCUGAACAGCAAGCUUUGAAGAGGUAAUAGACUGUCAUUUCCUCAAAAGGAUCUCUACAUACAGUGUGAAAAAAAUAAGAGAAGAAAUGGAAGCCUAGAGGCAAGGAAAUGACAGAAGAAACUGUAGUGUUAAUCCAGAUAAGACAUUGAAGAGCUAAACCAGGAUUUUGGUAAGACAGAUGGAGAGAUGUGGAUGGAUCUGAAUGCUACCAAGAAGGUCAAAUUCAACGGUGCUUACAGGCAUACCUUGGAAACAUUGCAGAUUUAGUUCUAGAACACCACAGUAAAGCAAAUAUUGCAAGAAAAUGAAUCACAUGAAUUUUGGGUUUCCCAGCACACAUAAAAGUUAUGUUUACACUGUACUAUAGUCUAAGUGUGUAAUAGCAUUAUGUAUUUUAAAAGUACAUGCCUUAAUUAAAAAAUAUUUUAUUGCU
Molecule: long non-coding RNA, 560 nt
Filed under: Pan troglodytes (chimpanzee)
Lineage: Eukaryota; Metazoa; Chordata; Mammalia; Primates; Hominidae
Description: lincRNA
Source: RNAcentral